AUAUUUACCUGGCAGAGGAGAUAGCCUGAUCAAAAAGGUGGUUUUCCCAGGGCACUUUCAGAGUAGAAAAUUUGAGUAAUCUGUGGUACUGGGGGACUGUGCUAACCCUCUCCCAUG
RNAcentral lists this small nuclear RNA (117 nucleotides) under Erinaceus europaeus (western European hedgehog). Its description in RNAcentral is "U1 spliceosomal RNA (ENSEEUG00000023417.1)". It matches the Rfam family "U1 spliceosomal RNA". From Rfam's summary of the family: U1 is a small nuclear RNA (snRNA) component of the spliceosome (involved in pre-mRNA splicing). Its 5' end forms complementary base pairs with the 5' splice junction, thus defining the 5' donor site of an intron. There are significant differences in sequence and secondary structure between metazoan and yeast U1 snRNAs, the latter being much longer (568 nucleotides as compared to 164 nucleotides in human). The record is from RNAcentral. Lineage: Eukaryota; Metazoa; Chordata; Mammalia; Eulipotyphla; Erinaceidae.